GUUAUUUAAGUCUGGAGUGAUGGGGAAUGCUGUGAGCCACCCACCCGUUCCAGCCCCAGGAGAUUUUGCUCAUUCUUGGCAGCUUGGCAGGGCAGAAUGGGCUGGCUGUAGGACCCCAAAGGAAGGAGCGCGACGAGCCACCAGAUGUGUGACCUCCUCACCCUGCUGGCAGCGCUGAACGUCCUUUCCUGUAAACUUCUCUGAGGACUUCUAAAUCAACAGAGGACUGCAAAGCCUUGGAGAGAGGGUUCUCAUCUUUCCCUUUACUGAGUGCUAUGCUAUACCCUGGCCAGGCCAUGCUCUGCGAAGCCCCUGGACAAGCUCUUCCCAGCAGGAGCAGCACCAAGUGCAGAUAGAAAACACUUCUGAAGUCGUGCAUCCCAUCUGAUGUUUAAAUGCAAAGAACCUAGGAAGGAUAGUCCUGGAUUACUGCUGCUUACAAGGAAGUGUACUUCUACGGAGGUCCAAAAGCCCUUCUGUACUCGGAAGCUGGGAUGGUUUGGCUUUGCUCUCCUUUAGCACUGAUGCAGCUUCAUUACCACCCAACAGGAAGUGAUGGUUACACUGCUGUCAAACUGGUGGAAAUAACAGGAUUAUCUUUGACUAACCAUGGGGUUUCCCACCUCAGGAACUGGAACAUCCUGAAAUCAUUCUGCUCCCAGACACGUCUUCUUUUUUUCCGUUUAGAUUAAAUAAUAUAUUUAGGGCCUCUGAAUGGCCUUAUGGUCUUCUGAGUGUGAAGCCUGCAAAAACAAGUGGGAAGGAAAAAGGCAGGUGGAGGAAAGGCUCAGCGAGAAGGCAAAGCCCUACCAGCCAAACCCAACUUCUCUUCAACUUACGCAAAGGUAUUUGUCCAUCAAGAGAAAGGUGGGACCCUGGAAAGUCAUUCUAACCAACAUUUUGAAAGUCUAUAAAUUCUGGAGGGACCAGGAAGAGUGCAAACAUUUUGUAAUUAGGGGCAAAACCCUGAGUGCUCCUACAAGUGCACUACAAGAGCACUACAAGUACUGAUAGUGAAGCCUCACUUCACUAUCAGUCCUUGGGGCUCCCUGCCUCUCCCAGCCCCCCCAGCCCAUGUGUGGGAUGCAUUGUGGCUCCCCCAUCUUCUCAACAUAUUUUGCUAUACUGAGCCUUUGUUAAUAUCACUUUUUGUUGACGUAUCUGUAUGGAAAACAGAAAAAUCCACUUUGUUGGAUUUGCUUUUGGUCUGAUUCCCUAAAUUCUACAAGGUGUUACAAAAUCCUGAACAUCUUUCAUUUCAGGUUAAUUGAAGUAACUGAUACAAUAGAACGCAAUUUAUUCUCUUUCAAAUGGAACGGUGGAAAACAGGCAUUAUUUUAUGUCCGCCCUCAGUUUGUCUCAGGAAUAUUUUUGCCAAUGGUAUGAGUUGGUUUACGUUCAAAUUUUUCAAUUAUUCUUUUACUUCUUUUUAAAAUGGUCACUUCUCUGGUGUGCAGAUCAAACAUUAAUGAAGUUUGAAAGGUCUUUUUUUUGAGCAACAUAAAACUUAAUAAAAUAAUUUUGCAUUUUACAGCUUUGGUGAGGAAAAGGUGUUAAUUAAGAGUACCAUGGCAAGAAAACUGCUUUCUGGCUCUGCUUACAAACUGGCUUAUUCUUGUAAAUAAUCAGUCCCACCUAAUUACCAGGCCAUAUUGUAUUUACUAGCAACAGUCAAGCAUUCCCAGACCUCAUAGUUUUAAGUCUGUGAAAUGCUUGCACAUUAUGAUCUCACCUCAUGAUACAGAAUCUCCAUUCAAGUUUAUACAUGACGUGGAAAGUCUCCGAGAUGUACUCCGAGGUGUAAAAUUAGUGUAAUUCCACUGGAAUGAAGGAGACGUGCCAAUUUGUAUCAAGUGAAGCUAUGGGCCACAAUGUCUCAAAGACAUUUGCUUUUGUCUGGCAAACAAGCAAGCAAAGUUCUUCAUUUUAAUGGAAAAUAAUGGGUAAGUUUGUCCUUGGUAAUGUACUGAAGCAGAUCAAAGAUGGAACUGCCUUACAAGGCUCUAUUUCACUAACAGACAAUUAAUACGAUAGUAUCAGGGAAAUGAAUAGCUACUCUGUGCCUCGGUGUUUCCCCUUAUGGACUGUAAAACUGCUCAGUUUAUCAUUUUCUGUCUUUAGGCAAAAAAGGUAACUCUUAUUUGCAUGUUUGUCAGUUUGUACUUGAGAGUACAAAAUUUACUUAAAAACAAGCUCAGCAAGCUAAAUGGAAUGCCAGUGGUCUUAUUAUCCCAAGAGAGCAAAGCACUUAAGCCCGUGAUUAAAAUGAAGUUAAUUGAAUUUAAACAUGCACUUACAGUAAAGCAUAGAACUAAAUACUUCUCUGAAUAGGAAAGAGAUUAUUCUCACACUUAAAUGUAAGCACUAAUAAUAGUUUUGCUAACAUUGAGGUUUAUAGCCUUCUCUCCGCAGUUCCAACUAUCCCACCAAUAAAACCUGGCACCAACAUCAGAGCUUUUCUAAGAAAUUCGUAUCGGAGAAUGAAGAUCAAGGUGUUGCUUAUACAAUAAAUUGGCAGAGCACAUUUGCAAAAAGAACACAUUAAAUUCUGGGUGUGAUGAGUUAUGUAUAAUAAAGGCAGGAAAGAGCUUAUUUCACAUUGAAUUGUGUGGCUUUCUCAGAAACACAGCCCUGGUUAUAGAGAGUGAAAACACCUAGCUGUUCUAUGAAAUCCCCAAACGUCGGUGUUCAGGGUGUAGUCAGAACUUCACUGCAAAUGCAACCCAGUGUUUUUGCACUUGAGAACACCAUGACCAGGUUUUUGUUUGGGAUUCAAAACUGGGGGUCAAAUUAGCAAUUCCGCUUCUGCUAUUGCCUCUGGGACAUCUGACUGAUUCGAGACAGAUGGUAUUUUCUUGAUGAAUUUAAUUUUCUUUGCAUUUAUAAUAGGAAUAAAAACACUUUCCUCUCAGCAAGCGUAAUAAUUAAAUAUUCAUUAAUUACGUUGCUGUCCUCUUGAGCUGGACCCAAGAAACACACCCAAGAAAAAAGAGACACAGUUCUGUCCCACAGGCAAAUACAAAUUUGUCAAAAUACAUUUGUUUCUAUUACAGGUUUAGAGAAGGAUGAGAAUGGGCAAAUGGGAAAGUUCAGUUGCAAUCCCCAGUCUCAUCCCUGUCAAAACAGAAAGGUUGAAAAUGGCUUUUCCCUUAAGCGGAGCUCAUCUGUACUGUGGCUGUAAGGGAUAUUUUUUCCCCCGUCAUAAUCAAACUUUCUGAUUGCAAAGGGAUCCUCUUCCUUGCCACCGUUUUUCCCUUCACGGAAAAUGUUAACAAAGAAGCCAGGUUAGCAGAACCAUCUGCUUUGAAUGGCAGUUUCUUGUUCUUGCACAGCUUUCGUACUGCUGGAAGAGAGAAGGACCAGAGGCACGUUUCAAAACACAGUGUUCUUUGUUGUACAUAAUGAUAUAAAACUGUGGAU
RNAcentral lists this long non-coding RNA (3420 nucleotides) under Gallus gallus (chicken). RNAcentral describes it as "lncRNA (ENSGALG00010017276.1)". Lineage: Eukaryota; Metazoa; Chordata; Aves; Galliformes; Phasianidae. The record is from RNAcentral.